UAGGGCCAUAUCACGUUGAUAGACUGGUUCUCGUAUGAUCUCCGAAGUUAAGCAACUUCGAGUCUGGUCAGUACCGAAAUGGCAGACCGCUUGUGAAUACUAGGUUCUGUAAG
Molecule: non-coding RNA, 113 nt
Organism: Acanthosepion pharaonis
Lineage: Eukaryota; Metazoa; Mollusca; Cephalopoda; Sepiida; Sepiidae
Source: the annotation of a GenBank genome assembly